GCACGCAGGGCCGCUGAGGGGCGUACGCGGGACUCGAGUGACGUGAGCACGCACGUAGGACCUACACAGACACAGGAAGCAUCAACUCUGAGGCUUUGGCCAGGAUGUGAGCCCGACUUUCGCAGCCCCAACUGGCAGGCUGACCUCAUGUGAACUCCCUGGCGAUGGCAUCCUGGAGACACCCACAUGGCUGAGCUGGCACCAUAGGCACUCAUAAUCCAGGUUCAGUUUCUGCCAGCACUAAUUUGGUUUAUUCCACAUGGCUGGAGCCACUGCGGGACUCCAUUUGUUCCGGGGCCACCUUCCUGUCACCUUUUACUGUUUCUUGAGUCAGCAAGAAAGGCAGAUCCGACUGAAGACUCCAGCACUCUCCUCAGCUGCAGCCCCCACAGAGCUCCGCGAAGUCCUUUCUCCCACAGGACAGAUCUGAGGCACCCACCAUUAGAAGAAAGGAGUGGAGAAAUGAUAUGCAGGAAGAAGGCCCAUUCUGAUUCACCAAUCGCAUGGACGCACUUUCCUACCAGGCUAGGAGGGAGGAAAGUAGAGCCCCACCCUGACUGCUAAGCCGUUUGCUUUGGUGUCAUGAAAAAAGAGUUCAGCUUCCCAAAUCAGAGAGGAAAAGGUUUUCAAGGGGUCCCCUAUUUCUAUUAUGUAAGCUUUAAAUGACAAAGUGGACCUCUGGGGCCAACGUGGGUGUGUGAUGGUGGUUUUGUGGGAUUCUCCCCAUAGCCCCAUCAGACGGCCUCACCUUCUGGGUCUCAGUGGCCCCAGGUGCAACACGGCUCCUCCAGAAAUGAUGACAGCCCUGGCGACCAAGGACUCCCUGUGCCACUGGGUUUGC
This 841-nucleotide long non-coding RNA is filed under the name Homo sapiens (human). RNAcentral describes it as "non-protein coding LINC00454:1". Lineage: Eukaryota; Metazoa; Chordata; Mammalia; Primates; Hominidae. The record is from RNAcentral.